This 5161-nucleotide long non-coding RNA is filed under the name Marmota monax (woodchuck). Lineage: Eukaryota; Metazoa; Chordata; Mammalia; Rodentia; Sciuridae. The record is from RNAcentral.
CAGACUCAUUCCUAGCCUACCAUCCCUAUUGGCUCAUAGAAAAGCUCUCAUCUUAGUCCUCUCAUCUGAGUGUUACUAUAAUAAAAUACCUGAGACUAGGUUACUUAUAAAGAACAGAAAUUUACUUCUCACAGUUCUGGAGGCUGGAAGUUCAAGAUAAAGGCACUGGCAGGUUUGGCAUCUGCUAAGGGUCUAGUCUCUGCUUUUGAGAUGGUACCUUGUUGCUGCAUCCUCUCAAGUGAAGCAAGGCUCUGCCCUCAUGAAUCAACAGGCCUUGCCGUGCUUCCCUUCCCUUUCCAGUGUAUUAGUAAUCAUGCCUAUGGAAUAAAGUCUCCUUGAAACCCCCAAAAUACAGGAUUUGGAGAACUUACGGUUGGCUGAACACGUGGAGGUUGUUGGAGUGUGCUGCAUGUGGAGAGGACAUAGAAGCCCAGCGUCCCUUCCCCACACCUCUCCAUAUGCACAUCUUCGUCUGUAUCCUUGUAAUAUCCCUUAUAAUAAACCUGUGAAGGUAAGACAGUGCUUCCCUGGGUUCUUUGGGCCCCACAAGCAAAUUAAAGCUGAAGAGGGAGGGGUGGGUGACCUGAGUUGGUCAGAGGCGCAGAUAAAACAAUCAAGGGCUUAUGACUGGCAUCCAAAACGAGGGGAUGGUGUUGGGGAUUGAGCCCCCAAUCUGUGGGAUAUGAUGCUAUUUCCAAGUAGAUAAUGACAGAAUUAAAUUGGAUUAGAGGAUGACCUGCUGGUGUCCACUGCUGCAGAACUGAUUGCUUGCUUGCUGUUAGAGAGAAACUCCUACACCUUUUGAGGUCAUAGAAAUCCUCUGUGCUGAUUGUGAAGUGAGAGUAGAGGGGAAAACAGUCCAGUGUUUUUCUUCACACACAGCCAUUAAGUUUCAAUGUGAAUUUUGGAAGGGAUGCAAACAUUCCAACCAUAACAUCUCUCUUGAUUGGCUGAUGAAUUGAUUGAUUGGAAUCCUCUCUGCAAUUUCUCUAACCUACUGCUGGAACUCAGGGAAACAGUGUACUUCUACAGAGAGCUCUCCAAUUUUUAGAUAAUUAUUUCUUACAUUAAACCCAAAGUAGUGUUCCUAUAGCUGCUCCAAUGUUCUCAGGUAUUUCCUGUGGGGCCAUAUAGAAAAAAAAGUCAAUUUCUUUCCUAAUACAAUAGCCAUAAAGUUGUUAUCAUUACUCAUGAGUCUUCACUUUGCUAGGAAAGACAGUCUAUUCCUCAUUAGGUGGCUAUAAGAUACUAAACUACCUAGUCACUUUUUUUUUUAAGACACAUUCUAGUUUGACAAUGUCUUUAAAGAAUAAAUUAUGUUUGUCAUCUCUUUGUCACUAUAGCAAAAUACUUGGGGGUAAUUAAUUUGUAAAAAGAAGAGGUUUAUUUUGCCUCAUGGUUUUUUAAUUUUCUGGUCCAAGACUAUUGUCAUUGAUUUGGGUCUUUGGCAAGGGUGGCACAUCAAGGCAAGAGCGUAUAGUGGAACAGAACUCUCACCUCAUGAGCCAGGAAGCAAAAAGAGAAAGGCAGAAACUGGAUUCCCACAAUCCCCUUUGAGGUUAUACCCCCAAUGACCUAGAGAUAUUCCACUAGGCCCCACCUCCCAUUUCCCAGUAGCUCUACCCUGGAGACCAAGCCAUGACCACAUAGACCUCGGGAAAAAUUCAACAUCCAAAUCAGAGAAUAGGUGUUUAAAUAUUUAAAAAUAGAUGUGCUUUGCCAAUGCAGAAAGUGGCGGGAACAACCUUGCACCCCUUCCCUAAUUUCAAUUUCUAUUAAUGCAUCCUUAAAUUUGAAUAUUUUUUUUAAAAAAAUAAUAUCCCAUUUUUGACUCUCAUUGAACUUUAAAUCUUUUUCAAGUGAACUACUGUCAAUCUAGGACUUUAUUACCUUGUAUUUAAGUAGUUGAUUCUUUGAACUUAGAUGCAAAAUUUAACAUUUAACCUUAUUAAGUUGUAUAUUGUUAAUUUCAUUCCAUCAUUCUCCUUUCCAAGGUCUUUUAAUUCAAGUUUGAUUCUUUAAUAUGGCUUAUCAGUUUUAUCUCCAACUUUCCUUCAUUUAUAAGUUUGAUAGGCCAAGUUUAUAUUGGGAUUUCCCUAAUUCGUGAUUAAGAUGUUUAUAAUUUUAGGAGAACAGAGAAUUACAGACAUCUUAAAACUUGAGUGUGCCAAAGAAUUACCUAGAACAUUUGUUCAGAUCCCAAGUCCCAUUUCCUGAAAUUUUGAUUCAGUAAGUUUGGGAUGUGAUUCCAGAAAUGUGCAUUUUUAACAAGUACCAUAUGUGAUUCUGCUGCUUUUGGUCCUAGGCCACACUUUGGAAAUGUCUUUAUAAAUUUUCUAUAGGUCUAAGUUGACAUUACUGUUUUCCUUAAUUUUAAUGGGGUUUUGGGGUUUCCUAGCACAGUGCUAGAUGAAGGAUUGAUACUCACUGAAUGGAUGGAUGAACAAAGGAACAAAAGAAGGAGUAGAGCAGAAGAGGUUCUCAGUUAAUAACAGCUAUAUUUUUUCAUUCUAAUCAUAAAGCCAAUAGAAUCAUAUUUUCCAAACACUGUGUAAUUAUAUUGCACUAUGUCUUUGAUGUUCCCAACUAGGGGGAAUAAAGAGGUGUAUUUUGCAUGACCUAUUCUUAAUGAACAUAUGUUGUCUCUUAGUGAUCAUUGCUUUCUGUCCAAGGGCUCACAGUCAUAUUUCUAAUUCUCUGUCUAGAAUUCACUGGAAGCGAAUAAUAUAUAAAACCCCAGAGAUAUCCCUCUGCUACUUUCCGCUUUACUUUUAAGAAAUUGGGGCUCAGGUUUAGUGCUUGACUUAUGGACUUCCCUUCAGGACCUGUUGGUUGUCUCUAUGUCUUAAUAUGUUUGCAGACAGAUAAGAACCAAAGACUUGGACACUUCACAAGGAGCCAUUUCUUACUUUCCCCUAAAUCUAUAUUUUGAAAACUUUCGAAACUCACAGAACAACUCAAAAAUUAAUACAAUAGUUUUGAUCUAGAUCAACAGUUAAUUGUUAGUGUUUUGCCAUAUUGGCUAGAUUUACUUUUCUUCCCGAACCAGUGGGUUUCCAGGUUUCUUUAGUCUCCUUUCCUCUACAACAAUAUCUUUACCCUGUUUUUUUGCCUUUCUGGAUGGGCACUUGAAAUCUGAGUAUCCUAAUUUUUGUUUGUUUAUUCUUUUUCAGUUUUGGUUUUGGAAGCACAUAAAGCUUAAUAAAAUAAUACAAUUAAAGGGGAUUAAACAAAAAAAGCAAACUUUCACAUUUGUUCCUAAAUAGGAAUGGGAGUGGCACAUUAUGGUGUUCACCACCAAUAUUCAGGAAACCAGAGAAGGUUUGUCGUGAGUAAAGAAGAAAGGAAGAGAAGCCUGGGAGGAAAUAUUCUGCACCACUGAGAAGUCUAAGGAAGGUUCAGCAAGGCCAUCAGGAUUUCUCCAGACAAAAUCUGCUAUCAGAUCAGUCCCCCAUCUCCCGAGAAGGGGUGUGCCUGUGUAUUCGUUUUGGCUCUGCUGUGGACUGGGAGAAGUCUGUGGGAAGAGUAGCCUGGGCACAAAUGCAAAGUUGGCUUUUAGAUCCCAAUCCUGGGUCUGCAGGAAGAGAACUCGUAAUGAUUCUCAUGGCUGCCUCACUGAAGGGUCCCUCUGCAUUCUCCAGGUGACCCGCUUACACAUUAUUGCAGGGGUAUGGAGGCCCACCUGUUGCCUUAACUCUGGACAUUUUGGAGCAUCCCAAUGAGGCUUUGUCAAGACUUGACCACAGCUCAGCCUCUUAUUCUGCUCAGUUCUGCUUCCCUCUCUUCACUGCUCAUGUGACUGAACUUGGGAGCACUCCCUGAUCAAACUCUUGUGCACCCACUUACAAGUGCUGCUCCCAGCUCUCACUACCUCCUAACAGAUGGAAUCCUCACAAGGCUAUGAGGUAGGUGCUAUCACACCCCCAUUCUAUCCAUGAGGAAACGGAGGCACAGAGAGUGGCUCAGUGACUGUCCCAAGGUACUCAAACAGCUGGGAAGUGAAAAUUGCUUGCUUCCCAGGUAGGCAUUCUGACUCCCUGACACCCCUUCAUCUGCCACUUACUGCGUUUCUCUGUGACACAGAGAUUCCUGUUAUCAUACCCAGUAUCCUAGUCCUAAUAUAAUUUCAGAUUGUUUUCCUAAACAAAGAUGUAGAGGAACUUCCUUGAGAUUUAGCAUUGGAGAGGAUUUGUCCUUGUUGUGUAAGAAAGGUAUUGUAGGUAAAGGCAGUUCUCACCUGAAUCUUUAUUCUUUCCUAUGGCUUUAGCCCUAACCUGCCCAGUUUUUCUCCAGGAUCAUGAUACACCUGCCACUCCCAGUCUGCAAAAGGAAAGAAUAUAUGUAGCACAAAGAACGAAAUGAGAGAUAAAUAAGCUCCUCUUCCCUAAGACAUGAGCGAGUUCUUAUUCCCUGACCUAUUUGAGUGCAUGCAACAUUCAAAGCUUGUAUAAUGUAGCUAAAUCAGCCUAUUUAGUAUUUAUGCAAUCUGCUCUGUUUUCAACAAGCUCUUAAGAUGUGACUUAUCCAGAAAUCUUCCGAAAUCUGCAAGGUUGCAGCAGACAUCUCUCCAGGGAGACUGAAGGAAUUAUCAAGAUUAUGGCUGCAAUUUAAAGAAAAUCUUUGCACUCUGAUGAGACUCUCAUGCCAAUCAUAGGAUGACCAACUGACCUGGUUUUCCCAGGGUGGAAAGCUUUGCCUGGACACGAGACUUUCUUUGCUGAAACUGGGAGAAUUCUAGGCAAACUGGAACAGUUGGACACCCUAGAAUGGACCCUUUAUGACUCAGCCAUGUUACAUACAGGAAACAUCUGCCUCUCUAUUGUAGAUACUUUCUAUUAUUUCAAAAAGUAUUAAUAUGUUAUGAUUAAUGAGAAAAUCGCCUAUAGAAACUAUGGAAAGGGAUGAAGAAGAAACUAAAAGCUACAUAAGAGCUCAUAAUAUAGUGGCUAUUAUUUAAACUUUUCAACAACUUCUGUGAGAUUUUUUCUGUGUGGGUAUAUACAUAUAUUUUAUAGAUCAAAAACUGCAUUACAAACAGUUCCGUAUCCUGAUUUUUACCUAGCAUGUCCACAUUUUCCCAUGUCAAUGAAUAGCUUUUGAAAAAUCACUGCUAUGGUUGCAUAAUUUCCAUUGAGGAUGUACUUUAUUUAACUAUUCUCCU